Molecule: long non-coding RNA, 2483 nt
Organism: Brassica napus (rape)
Lineage: Eukaryota; Viridiplantae; Streptophyta; Magnoliopsida; Brassicales; Brassicaceae
Exons: 8
Source: RefSeq, a predicted model, not a curated record
GAACAUGUAUUUAUGAAAUGCUGGGAUUUUUCAACGAUCCACUGAAGGUUGGUUUGCUUUUAUGAUGAUUCCAAAACACUUUAAACCCAUUCCCUUAAAUUUCGUGAUGUUCUCCAAAGAAAAGCACCUCCUCAAUCGUCAUUAUACCACCCCUCGAUCUCGUUCUUCAAAGUCAUGGUUAACUUUUUCCAAAAAAAAUACGAGAGAAUCAAUCCAAGAUUUGUCGACCAUCGCCAUGGCGGAACACAAUCUUCAAAACGAAAUUGUAGGUGAAGGAGAUGAAGUGUUUGCUAUCUUUCAGCGUCCAACAGAACACUGGAUCGUCUACAAUGAUGUGGCUGCGUUAUUCAAUCAGCACUUCAAUGGUACUCCUUUCAAUUGGACAUGUGUCCCCUUUUGUGGAAGGUUUGUUCGUGUAUCUGGAUACCAAUUUUGUAGAUCGGUAUGAUUGGAUUCAUGUGCAAUAACAUAGGAGGCUUAAUGUAAAUCCAAGAAUUUAGGGCCCGACAUCGGUUACACGUUUGCUGUGUUCGACACAGCAGAGGGUAGGUUCAUGAGGAGAACACACCACCACGGAUUGACCAGAAAUGUAGCUAUCGUUCACUACCGGGUUGUUCCACCUGCGGUUCUCGUCCGCCAAAGAUGAAGCGGCGGAGGCGGAAGAAGUCGGUGAGGAUCCUGUGGUGGAGGAAGAUUUGGAAGUGGCUGAAGGAAGGGAAGUUGAAGGUUCAGAGUCAGAAGGUGAAAUCUGAGUCUGAGGCUGAUGAUCGGGAUAAACAUCCCGACUACAACCCGUACCAACAUGGCUUAGUCGCUUUGGCUAACUUUCUUUCAACUCCACAUGCUGCUAGCGUGCAGGAACAUGUUCUUAUCAGAAAAGUGAUUGAACUACAUGAUAAAUACAUCGUCUAUGAAAUUGGCGCUCAGUGCUCUCAGUUCGUGAAGCGGAGGCUCUGUGAGAAUCUUCUUAGGCAUGGGAGGUUUCGUGAAGACGCUGCAAAGGCUUGUAACACGGCCUUCUUGAGCACGAACUCUCAGUUACAUGUUGAUGUGGUGGAUGAUAGUAUGAGUUGGACAACGGCUAUUAUGGUUAUGGUUAGAGGGAGGACGAUCUACGUGGCGAAUGCUGGUGACUCGAACGGGAGUUUUGGCUGAGAAGAGGGAUGGUGAUCUUGUGGCUGUUGAUUUUUCUAUUGACCAGACUCCAUUUAGAGCUGAUGAGCUUGAAAGGGUGAAGCUUUGUGGACUUAGAGUUCUUACUCUUGAUCAGAUUGAAAGUUUGAAGAAUCCUGAUGUUCAGUGUUAGGGUACUGAGGAGGAUGAUGAUGGAGACCCUUUGACUCCGAGGCUUUGGGUUCCCAAUGUGAUGUAUCCGGGAACUGCGUUUACGAGGAGUAUUGGUGAUUCUAUUGCGGAGACGAUUGGGGUUGUUGCUAAUCUUGAGAAUUAAUGUUGUUGAGCUCAAGCCGGAUAAUCCUUUCUUCCAGAACCACACCCUCUUCCACAAGGCUCUGAAAGAGGCAUUUGAGAUAUUCUGUAACAAAACCGUCGCUGGAAGUUCAAGUGCAGAAUUGCUUGCAGCAUUAUGCGCCAAUAUCCUUAAGAAGAGGGGUAGUGAGAAAUGGGGUCCACAGCUGGACCAAGCAACCUACAAGAAUCGCCAGCAUCUAUAUCUCUCUGAACAAACUGAUGGCAAUGUGCCCAACACUCUUGUCAUAGCCAAUUGUGAAGUUGUUAAGCCAAGAGUCGCUGCAGCUGAGCACAUAUCUCAGUUCAAUGAAAAACACGUUCUCCAUUUGUGAAGAAGUACAAGACCUCAUCAUUCACUCUGGAGAGGUUAACAGAAUCAGGGAACUCUCGCAAAACAGUAAGAUCAUUUCUACUCACACCAAUAGCCCUGAUGUAAGCACUCCUUCUUCCAUUUCGUUGUGGCCAAAGCAACUUGAAAAAUGUUCUCAUUUGGGUUGUCGAUUUACACUAGAAUGCGCCGGACCCUUGGACUAUUGUCAGUGUUUCUGAUGACUGUGAGAACUGGUGGAGGUGGAACAUUGCAGUGGAGUCUAGCUGAAGCCAAUUUAGUUUCCAAAUGCAAUAAACUUUAGCACCGGAAAUUAUGCUGCAAGCUAAACAAAAUAUCAUCUCUAAUGAUAUUCUCAAUUCAUUAGUCGACACAUCCGCUUUUCGUUUUCAUAUGCUUUUGGUGUUCUAUUUUUUCAACGAAUUAGUGUUUUAAUUUAAAUGUCAUGUUUGUGAUCUUAUGCAGGUCUAAUAGAGACUGGGAUGAUGGCUACAAUCAAAAGAGAUUUUGUGACUUAUAUGUGAGAAACUUUUUUUUUUUUUGUUAGUUAUUUGUUUGCCUAAUUGUUUGCUUAAUUUAAUUGUGUUAUCGUGUUAAUGUAAAUGUCAUGUCUGUUAGUAACCACAUUUACAAAGUGAAUUGUGUCCGCUCACAUAACAAGGAACAAGAAGAGGUUACAGCUUAA